UGGGGAAUUUUGCACAAUGGGGGAAACCCUGAUGCAGCGACGCCGCGUGAUUUAGAAGGCCUUCGGGUUGUAAAAAUCUUUUUUACGGGAUGAAAAUGACAGUACCGUAAGAAUAAGGUCCGGCUAAAUACGUGCCAGCAGCCGCGGUAAUACGUAUGGACCGAGCGUUGUCCGGAAUCAUUGGGCGUAAAGGGUACGUAGGCGGCCUAGUAAGUUAGAAGUGAAAUAAUAUAGCUCAACUAUAUAAAGCUUUUAAAACUGCUAGGCUUGAGAGAUGGAAGGGAAAGUGGAAUUCCUUGUGUAGCGGUGAAAUGCGCAGAUAUUAGGAAGAAUACCGGUGGCGAAGGCGACUUUCUGGUCAUCAUCUGACGCUGAGGUACGAAAGCGUGGGUAGCAAACAGG
This 402-nucleotide ribosomal RNA is filed under the name bacterium. RNAcentral describes it as "partial 16S ribosomal RNA". It matches the Rfam family "Bacterial small subunit ribosomal RNA", at positions 355 to 776 of the family's 1533-position model. The record is from RNAcentral.